CAGCAGCCGCGGUAAUACAGAGGCGGCAAGCGUUGUUCGGAAUUAUUGGGCGUAAAGAGCACGUAGGCGGCCUUGCAAGUCAGUUGUGAAAGCCUUCCGCUUAACGGAAGAACGGCAUCUGAUACUACAGGGCUUGAGUACGGGAGGGGAGAGUGGAACUUCUGGUGGAGCGGUGAAAUGCGUAGAUAUCAGAAGGAACGCCGGCGGCGAAAGCGACUCUCUGGUCCGAAACUGACGCUGAGUGUGCGAAAGCUAGGGGAGCAAACGGG
Molecule: ribosomal RNA, 269 nt
Filed under: uncultured prokaryote
Description: partial 16S ribosomal RNA
Rfam family: Bacterial small subunit ribosomal RNA
Source: RNAcentral